This 639-nucleotide ribosomal RNA is filed under the name uncultured Actinomycetes bacterium. RNAcentral's name for it is "bacterial SSU rRNA". It matches the Rfam family "Bacterial small subunit ribosomal RNA", at positions 232 to 885 of the family's 1533-position model. Lineage: Bacteria; Bacillati; Actinomycetota; Actinomycetes. The record is from RNAcentral.
CGCGGCCUAUCAGCUUGUUGGUGAGGUAACGGCUCACCAAGGCAUCGACGGGUAGCUGGUCUGAGAGGACGAUCAGCCACACUGGGACUGAGACACGGCCCAGACUCCUACGGGAGGCAGCAGUAGGGAAUCUUGCGCAAUGGGCGAAAGCCUGACGCAGCAACGCCGCGUGGGGGAUGAAUGCCUUCGGGUUGUAAACCCCUUUCAGCAGGGACGAAAAUGACGGUACCUGCAGAAGAAGCUCCGGCCAACUACGUGCCAGCAGCCGCGGUAAUACGUAGGGAGCGAGCGUUGUCCGGAAUUAUUGGGCGUAAAGAGCUCGUAGGCGGUUCAGUAAGUCGGGUGUGAAAACUCAAGGCUCAACCUUGAGACGCCACUCGAUACUGCUGUGACUUGAGUCCGGUAGAGGAGUGUGGAAUUCCUGGUGUAGCGGUGAAAUGCGCAGAUAUCAGGAGGAACACCGGCGGCGAAGGCGGCACUCUGGGCCGGUACUGACGCUGAGGAGCGAAAGCAUGGGGAGCAAACAGGAUUAGAUACCCUGGUAGUCCAUGCCGUAAACGGUGGGUGCUAGCUGUGGGCCACAUUCCACGUGGUCCGUGACGAAGUUAACACAUUAAGCACCCCGCCUGGGGAGUACGG